AAUAGACCCAGGUAGUCCACGCCGUAAACGAUGAGUGCUAAGUGUUAGAGGGUUUCCGCCCUUUAGUGCUGCAGCUAACGCAUUAAGCACUCCGCCUGGGGAGUACGGCCGCAAGGCUGAAACUCAAAGGAAUUGACGGGGGCCCGCACAAGCGGUGGAGCAUGUGGUUUAAUUCGAAGCAACGCGAAGAACCUUACCAGGUCUUGACAUCCUCUGCCAACCCUAGAGAUAGGGCGUUCCCCUUCGGGGGACAGAGUGACAGGUGGUGCAUGGUUGUCGUCAGCUCGUGUCGUGAGAUGUUGGGUUAAGUCCCGCAACGAGCGCAACCCUUGAUCUUAGUUGCCAGCAUUCAGUUGGGCACUCUAAGGUGACUGCCGGUGACAAACCGGAGGAAGGUGGGGAUGACGUCAGAUCAUCAUGCCUCUUAUGACCUGGGCUACACACGUGCUACAAUGGAUGGUACAAAGAGCUGCGAACCCGCGAGGGUAAGCCAAUCUCAUAAAGCCAUUCUCAGUUCGGAUUGU
Molecule: ribosomal RNA, 524 nt
Filed under: uncultured bacterium
Lineage: Bacteria
Description: bacterial SSU rRNA
Rfam family: Bacterial small subunit ribosomal RNA
Source: RNAcentral